RNAcentral lists this ribosomal RNA (500 nucleotides) under uncultured bacterium. Its description in RNAcentral is "partial 16S ribosomal RNA". It matches the Rfam family "Bacterial small subunit ribosomal RNA", at positions 28 to 507 of the family's 1533-position model. The record is from RNAcentral.
GACGAACGCUGGCGGCGCGCUUAACACAUGCAAGUCGAACGGAAAGGCCUGCUUUCCCUUGUGGAUUGCGGGUACUCGAGUGGCGAACGGGUGAGUAACACGGGAGUUAUCUUCCCCCAACGUGGGUAGAAGCCUGGGAAACUGGGACUAAUUCCCGGUAGUACUGCAGGGAGGAGGGUGUGGUGGGAAACGACUUUCUAGUGGGUGGGGAUGUGCGCGCGGCGUAUCAGCUGGGUGGUGGGGUACAGGGCUACCAAGGCAAAGAUGGGUAGCGGGGCUGAGAGGGUGAGCAGCCACAGUGGAACUGAGACACGGUCCAGACUCAGACGGCAAGCAGCGGCGGGGAAUAUUGGACAAUGGGAGCAAGCGUGAUCCAGACGUACCGAGUGGGUGAAGAAGGUCUUCGGGUUGGAAAGGCAUUUUGUUGGGAAAGACAAGCAACAGGCUAAGAUCCCGCUGUUCUGACGGUACCCAAAGAAUAAGCACCGGCUAACUUCGUG